This is a non-coding RNA of Helianthus annuus (common sunflower), 151 nucleotides long. Lineage: Eukaryota; Viridiplantae; Streptophyta; Magnoliopsida; Asterales; Asteraceae. The record is from Rfam.
GAGAGAAGAGAUUGUUAGGUUAGCUAAGGAGACUGCCUGAUAACUGCUUGGGUCUCAAAGCAUCAGUGUAGAAAGACCAAACCCUUUGAAUAAAAAAGUAAUAAUUACAGGCAAGUCAUCAUUAGCUACCAAACGAAACUCUCUCUUAUCG